AAUGCCAGCUGUGGAACAAGGAGUGCAGGCCGUGCCACGUCCACAGGGACUGGUGGGAUGUGGCGGUUCUACACCGAGGACUCUCCAGGGCUCAAAGUUGGACCUGUUCCAGUUUUGGUCAUGAGUCUUCUUUUUAUUGCUUCUGUAUUUAUGCUGCACAUCUGGGGUAAAUACACUCGUUCCUAGACUCAGCUGCCAGCUUAAAUCAUACAUCUUGGACCAAAACUAUGGUGGAUCCUGAUUGUUCUUGGAGAGAGACUGGGGAAGCUUCCUAUCACCUGUUGAAGUCCUGUCAACUUUGGCUGUGAUAUCGAAUUAAUUUCUCAGUUCGCUACUUGGGCAGCUUUAAAGCCUGUCAUGGGUCAUUUUAUAUUUGUAUCUGUACACUUAGAAUACAGGUAUUGCAAUAAAAGUUCUAUAUGGAAAUAGAA
Long non-coding RNA from Ficedula albicollis (Collared flycatcher), 431 nucleotides. RefSeq lists it as uncharacterized. NCBI's taxonomy places the organism in Eukaryota, Metazoa, Chordata, Aves, Passeriformes, Muscicapidae. The record is from RefSeq and is a predicted model, not a curated record. The transcript is spliced from 2 exons.